GAUGAAGAACGUAGCGAAAUGCGAUAAGUAAUGUGAAUUGCAGAAUUCAGUGAAUCAUCGAAUCUUUGAACGCACAUUGCGCCCGCCAGUAUUCUGGCGGGCAUGCCUGUUCGAGCGUCAUUUCAACCAUCAAGCCCCAGGCUUGUGUUGGGGACCUGCGGCUGCCGCAGGCCCUGAAAACCAGUGGCGGGCUCGCUGUCACACCGGGCGUAGUAGAUUUUAUCUCGCUCAGGGCGUGCUGAGGGUUCCGGCCGUUAAAAAGCCUUUUUUACCCAAGGUUGACCUCGGAUCAGGUAGGAAGACCCGCUGAACUUAAGCAUAUCAAUAAGCGGAGGA
Molecule: unclassified non-coding RNA, 336 nt
Filed under: soil metagenome
Description: partial contains 5.8S ribosomal RNA, internal transcribed spacer 2, and large subunit ribosomal RNA
Rfam family: 5.8S ribosomal RNA (bases 1-120)
Source: RNAcentral